AAAAUACGAAGCUAGAUCGAGGAAAGGAAAAAGUUCGGGAUUAGUAGAUUUUUACUGUUUACAAACAAGUAUCAAGUGUUAAGAGCUCGGAGGUCGGAUUUGGUCGGAGACACAUCACACUGUCAACCUCAGGAUUUCGGUAUAUAAAGAAACUUUAUUUUGGAAAUCAAUGGCAUGUAUAAGCUAACAAAGUAAAUGUUAACGUGAAAUGAAUGUAAAGUUUGCCAUUAGUAUGGUUAACAAACCUGGUUAUAGAUAUGUGAUGACGUUAUCUUAUAUAAAUGCAUGGAUCUAUCAUGAAAA
Gossypium arboreum is the source of this 303-nucleotide long non-coding RNA. RefSeq lists it as uncharacterized. NCBI's taxonomy places the organism in Eukaryota, Viridiplantae, Streptophyta, Magnoliopsida, Malvales, Malvaceae. The transcript has 2 exons. The record is from RefSeq and is a predicted model, not a curated record.